GCACAGAUGGUGUAACGGCAACAUCACGGUCUCCAAAACCGUUGUUCGAGGUUCAAACCCUCGUCUGUGCG
RNAcentral lists this transfer RNA (71 nucleotides) under Geitlerinema splendidum. RNAcentral's name for it is "tRNA-Trp". It matches the Rfam family "tRNA". From Rfam's summary of the family: Transfer RNA (tRNA) molecules are approximately 80 nucleotides in length. The record is from RNAcentral. Lineage: Bacteria; Bacillati; Cyanobacteriota; Cyanophyceae; Geitlerinematales; Geitlerinemataceae. RNAcentral also lists the same sequence under 1 other name.